GCAAUGUGCAACAUAUACAUAUUUUCUGUUAUUGUUGGUGGUUCAAAAAAUAUUUUGUGUAAGUUCAUGGUGUUUGUCCUAUUGUGAAUUGUGAUUAUCGGUACUGCGAUAAAUUCAGAAUAGUGUAGUAAAUACCGUUUUGUCAAGAAAACAGUACUAACCCUACAUAACCUCACAUCUACAAGCAAUACAGAAAAUGCAAUUUUUCAACACAGACAAAAUGAUGAAUGUCCGGGCGGAACCAAAAAAAAAGAAGAAAUCCAGUUAGAAAUUGCGGGAGAUACGCAGAAAUUGGAUGAAUUGUUUCAGACUAAUAAUAAUGUUUAUUUGCCAGAAAGAGAAGACGUAAAAAAACAUGUAUGCAAUUUUGAAGAAAUUAUUAAUAAUGAACCAAAUUGUUUUCAAGUUUUCAGGGCAAGGAAAAAAUAAGCUCUCUUUUAGUGAACUCACAAUUAACAAGGCUACAAUAUGUAAAGUUAUGUGAUUUCUUAAAAAUUACGAACUUUGUUAGUUAAUUUAAUUGUAGGACCUCAUUAAGCGCAGACAAAAGCAAGAAUCGAAAAAAACAUGAAGUAUGAUUUUUUUUAUUUUAAUGAAUUAUAUCGCUUUUCAAUGAACUGGUUAUAGAGCAAAUAAUUAUUAAAUAAAUAUUUCUGUGUAACGAUUGAAAUGUAGCAGAACAUUGUUAUUUCCAUUGACAAUAAUGUAUUGUUAUUUCAUUGUAAGUUGGCAGUGUAUUUUUAUGUUUAAAAAAUUUAUAUUGUGUUUCACAUCAGGUGAUUUUUUAAGUUUAUGCUCUGGUUGGCCAUGAAGCUUAUGUCAGCAGUUUCAGUUUCACUGCUGACAUAAGUGUCAUGGGUAACUACAGCAGAAAUUUAAAAAAAAAUCACCUGGUACAAAUUUUCAACGAACUGGUUCUAGGACAAAUGAUUUUUAAAUGGCUUGUAAUUAAAUGAUAAGUAUAAAAUGCAUUUUUUUUAGGUAACUUAAAUAGUUUGUUACGUACAUUAAUAAGUUUGUUCAGUAGAAAUUGUAAGUAUUAAAAUAAAAAAUGACCAGUACCAUGUCCAAGUAUUUAAUUGUGCUGUGUUUAGUAAAAAUAAUAGAUGUUCAGUAGAAAUGCUAGAGUGUCUGGUUGACCUAACUGGCGAUGGCACGUUUUAAUGAAUACUCCUAUUCAGUAAAAAAAUAGUAAUAUAUAAGUACAUACGAGUAAUUGUAACAAUAGGUAGGAAGCAAUAUUUUUAACAAAUACUUUUAUUGGAAAAAUAACAAAGGCCUACCUAUACAUUGUUUUUGUAAAAAUCAAGAUAAAAUUCCAAGAAAAAAAAUAGAUCACAUUUAAACAUAGAAUACACUUUCGUGUAUAAAAAAAAUAAAAAUAAACAGUAAAAUAAUAAUAAUAAACAGUCUUCACUGUUUCAAUAAUAACAAAUAAAUGAUUCUAACUAUAUAAUAAAGAUUAACAUGCAUAUUCUAAAAAAAUAAUGAGAUUAUCUAUCACGUGUGGGGUGUUAACCAUAAAGAACACCAUAAUUUUCUAACGAACCUGUUCAAUUUCUACUGAACGUCUAUGAUUUCGACUGUACAUCCAACAUUAUUAAUUAAGCUUUCGUUAUUUUUCCAGGACAAUAGUUUUAUUUAUUGAACAAAAUGAAUAAUAUACAUAACUUCCAUGAUAAAAACAUAUCGUUAAAAUUAGUUACUGUAACAAAAAAUUUGUUAUAUGGUAUUUAUAUUUUCAAAUGAACAAUUGUAUAAUAUAUCGGUAAAGGUAACUUGUCGAAAAAAUAUUAUACUGAGCAGAAUAUUUUUAUCGUUUCAAAUACACUGUUAUUUCCGGUGACAAUGUAUUUUUGUGUUUAAUAAAUUUUAUAUUGUAUUCCA
Molecule: long non-coding RNA, 1887 nt
Organism: Zophobas morio
Lineage: Eukaryota; Metazoa; Arthropoda; Insecta; Coleoptera; Tenebrionidae
Exons: 3
Source: RefSeq, a predicted model, not a curated record